RNAcentral lists this ribosomal RNA (544 nucleotides) under Bacillus sp. PCAM21. RNAcentral describes it as "bacterial SSU rRNA". It matches the Rfam family "Bacterial small subunit ribosomal RNA", at positions 154 to 683 of the family's 1533-position model. The record is from RNAcentral. Lineage: Bacteria; Bacillati; Bacillota; Bacilli; Caryophanales; Bacillaceae.
AAACCGGGGCUAAUACCGGAUGCUUGUUUGAACCGCAUGGUUCAAACAUAAAAGGUGGCUUCGGCUACCACUUACAGAUGGACCCGCGGCGCAUUAGCUAGUUGGUGAGGUAACGGCUCACCAAGGCGACGAUGCGUAGCCGACCUGAGAGGGUGAUCGGCCACACUGGGACUGAGACACGGCCCAGACUCCUACGGGAGGCAGCAGUAGGGAAUCUUCCGCAAUGGACGAAAGUCUGACGGAGCAACGCCGCGUGAGUGAUGAAGGUUUUCGGAUCGUAAAGCUCUGUUGUUAGGGAAGAACAAGUGCCGUUCAAAUAGGGCGGCACCUUGACGGUACCUAACCAGAAAGCCACGGCUAANNNNGUGCCAGCAGCCGCGGUAAUACGUAGGUGGCAAGCGUUGUCCGGAAUUAUUGGGCGUAAAGGGCUCGCAGGCGGUUUCUUAAGUCUGAUGUGAAAGCCCCCGGCUCAACCGGGGAGGGUCAUUGGAAACUGGGGAACUUGAGUGCAGAAGAGGAGAGUGGAAUUCCACGUGUAGCGGUG